This 253-nucleotide ribosomal RNA is filed under the name uncultured bacterium. RNAcentral's name for it is "partial 16S ribosomal RNA". It matches the Rfam family "Bacterial small subunit ribosomal RNA", at positions 524 to 776 of the family's 1533-position model. The record is from RNAcentral.
UACGUAGGGGGCAAGCGUUGUCCGGAAUCAUUGGGCGUAAAGAGCGUGUAGGCGGUCCUGUAAGUCCGCUGUGAAAGUCAAGGGCUCAACCCUUGAAUGCCGGUGGAUACUGCAGGACUAGAGUCCGGAAGAGGCGAGUGGAAUUCCUGGUGUAGCGGUGAAAUGCGCAGAUAUCAGGAGGAACACCGGUGGCGAAGGCGGGUCUCUGGGCAACAACUGACGCUGAGGAGCGAAAGCGUGGGGAGCGAACAGG